GGGAAGUUAAUUUACUCUUGUUAUGCAUGAGUCUCAUUUACCCAGAUAACUGAGAAUUAUGCUCUUUUCCUAAGGAAAGAACAGUUCUGGUUUGAGGGAGAUAAGAGCAUUUAAUGAACAAAGAGGAGAUGCGGAAUUUCUUAGCAACUCUCUCUCCCAUUCCUACCUCAGUUAGGGCAGAGAGGGUCCAUGGUCUGGAAUCUCAAAGCCAACCUUCAAAUCGCUUAUUUGACUUUAAAAAGUGCAAAGCAUGUUCUGCUUUAUGUUUUAAACUCUUGACCCCUGAUCAUUAUCAGGGUUCAGUUCAGUGGGUACCCAGCCAUAUUGAUGGAAAAUGUGAUGGAGUUAAUAAUCACCAUUGGAAGUAGAAGCUGGCAGAAGGCUUUUAGGAUGCUGUGUUGAGACCCAGGUCAGCUAACCUGCAUGAUCAGCCAUGGAAUAAAAAUGGAUUUGGCAGAAAUACAUUCCUUACACCGCAGGAUCAUGAAUAAGACAAGAAUGCCCACUGUUGCCACUUUUAUUCAACAUAGUGCUGGAAGUCCUAGCCACAGAAAUUAGUCAAGAAAAAGAAAUAAAAGACACCCAUAUUGCCACAACUCUAGGCGUGGUCCCGAGGGUGUUGCUUCAUCCUCCUGGGUCACAGAAUGAAGAUGAUGCAGAGGAGAGCCACAGCUAGCUGUGACAGUCAUGUUGCAAGAGUGAGAAAACAUCCUUUGUGGUUUGUCUCUUUUCCUGGGACCUGGUGGAGAGAGAAAUUGUGAGUUGAACACUCAUAACGGGUGUCCUAUUGAUCCUGUCUGGGCACUUCCAUCAUACCACAGAAUGUCUAGCCUUGACUGCACAGUUGGAUUCUUUCAUUGCCUCUCUGAAGUUACAUGACUUAGUUCCUUAACUCCUCUGGCAGCAUACAUUACAGAGAAAACUAUCUGCUCUGUCAAUAACUUACAUCUAGGUAACCUAGUCACAAGACCUCUGUCACCCAGGUUCUCUGGAUAUGUUGUGGUCUCUUUAAUAUGCCUCCCAGAGCCCCCCAAAGUGGAUUUCAUCCAUGCCAUGUAGCCUGUAGUUCAAGUCUGACCACCUUAAUAUAAACUCUGAAUUUGGUGAAAAUCCAUUUCAUCUGAUGUGAAAAAAGCUGAGCACCAGCAGGGCUCAGGGAAGCUGAAGUGGAUUUGUAUGAUGGAGAGGAUUCUGAGAGUGACAUUUUCAGUAAGAGGGCUCUAAGGACAUGACCCCUACUGGGUGGAUCCUCAGAACUUGGAAGUCACAAGUGAUUUCAUGCUACAGGAUGAUGGAAGUACAAAGACAAGUCAAGCACUGCUGCUGCCCUCCAGGAUCUCACAGGAUGGUGUGGUGUGAUGAGGAGUGAGUCACAGCCUUGUGACACAGCCGGGGCCAUAUCCAUGGUAUACGGAAGUUCCCAAGCUAGGAGUUGAAUUGGAGCUACAGCUGCCAGCCUACACCACAGCCACAGCAACUCGGGACCUACAGCACAGCUCAUGGCAACGCUGGAUCCUUAACCCACUGAGUGAGGCCAGGGAUCAAACCCGUAUCCUCAUGGCUACUUGUUGGAUUCGUUUCUGCUGAGCCAUGUGGGAACUCCCUGUGUUGUCUUCUCCUUAAAGCUAGUGAAGGGUGAACAGAUAUUCAGCCACAUCAAAAGAGAAAUCCAAAGCCUACAUUGUGACCUGAAAACAGAACAAUGCCUUUCAGCCUUAUAAUCUUGAGAAUUAUUAUGGAAUGAUCACUUGCAGUUUCUGUUCUUUGCCACGCCAUGAUGCCAUGGGAGGCUUGAGUCCAAAGUGGGCAAGUUUUAUUUCAGACCAGUUGAGCAAGAUCUAGGUCACUAUCAUUGGUCUAAGAACACACACAGACACUUCUCAUGCACACACACUAAAGGCUUUUUUGAUUUGUUUGUAAUCUCCAUUCCUAGUGACAUGGUUCUUUUUAAUAAGUAAACUGAGAUGGUGAUUUUUCAAGCCACCAUUGGGGAAGUACCAAUUUUUGAAUUUUCAAACUGUUGAGGAAUACCUUUUUAAGGUAGGGUAAAAGUAAAUUACUAGUAAACUAAAAUAAGCAAAAACAUACAAAAUACACUCCCAAAUCUUCAGAGGGGAAACAAAUACAAUUUCUGUUUUAAAUCACUAAAUAAGUUUCUAAACACUCUUAACAGUGUACUUUUCUUGUUUUUCAUGGCAGCCUUACUUUAUGUAAGUCUAAUAUCUUACAUAUGCAAUGGCACAAAAAUCUCAAGACACCAGUUCAGUUCACACAUAAUGUGUGUGAAACUUCCAGCAAAUUGUUAUCUCUCUUCUCACCAAACAAGUCUGUGAAGGUAGGAAAGUAAAUGUCAGCAGAUAAACUUUCUGUUCAAUUAUUGUGAAGGUAACAGGAUUAUUACCAUUUGGGGUUCCACGUGACUAUUUAAAAAUGUUUUUUUGAUCAAAUAUUAAAAAACUCCGGAGUUCCCGUCAUGACUCACCGGUUGGUGAACCCGACUAUCAUCCAUGAGGAUGUAGGUUCGAUCCCUGGACUUGCUCAGUGAGUUAAUGAUUGAGCGUUGCCGUGAACUGUGCUGUAGGUCACAGACGUGGUUCAGGUCUAGUGUUGCUGCCGCUGUGGUGUAAACCAGCAGCUGUAGCUCCAGUUCAGCCCCUAGUCUGGGAAUCUCUAUAUGCCGUGGAUGCAGCCCUAAAAAGACAAACAAACAAAUAAAUAAAUAAAUAAUUCAGUGGAAAACACAGAGAUACCUAAAAAAGAGGGUGAACUGAGUGAUACCUUUUAUUUUUGGCCAAUAUUUUAAAACUCCAUAUUCACCUCUAAAGAUAAAAAUGCCUUUCUUUUAAAUCUGGGGCUUCCAUUUCUAUCACCCUAGAAUUUAAAUAAAAAGAAAUGGGUGGAUUAAAGCACAAUAACGUAUUUGCCCUCUUAUAAUAAAUAUCACAUCAUAAGAAUGGUAAAUGUGAUGAUGAGAA
This 2975-nucleotide long non-coding RNA is filed under the name Sus scrofa (pig). RNAcentral describes it as "lncRNA (ENSSSCG00025032790.1)". The record is from RNAcentral. Lineage: Eukaryota; Metazoa; Chordata; Mammalia; Artiodactyla; Suidae.